Molecule: ribosomal RNA, 547 nt
Filed under: uncultured bacterium
Lineage: Bacteria
Description: bacterial SSU rRNA
Rfam family: Bacterial small subunit ribosomal RNA
Source: RNAcentral
AAUAGAUACCCCGGUAGUCCACGCCCUAAACGAUGCUCACUAGGUGUUGGGGAAGCGAUUCCUUGGUACCGUAGCUAACGCGUGAAGUGAGCCGCCUGGGGAGUACGGCCGCAAGGUUAAAACUCAAAGGAAUUGACGGGGACCCGCACAAGCGGUGGAUGAUGUGGAUUAAUUCGAUGCAGCGCGAACAACCUUACCUACCCUUGACAUGUCCGGAAGCCUGCUGAAAGGCGGGGGUGCUCGAAAGAGAACCGGAACACAGGUGCUGCAUGGCUGUCGUCAGCUCGUGUCGUGAGAUGUUGGGUUAAGUCCCGCAACGAGCGCAACCCUUGUCCCUAGUUGCUACGCAAGGGCACUCUAGGGAGACUGCCGGUGACAAACCGGAGGAAGGUGGGGAUGACGUCAAGUCCUCAUGGCCCUUAUGGGUAGGGCUUCACACGUCAUACAAUGGACGGUACAGAGGGUUGCCAACCCGCGAGGGGGAGCCAAUCCCAGAAAGCCGUUCGUAGUCCGGAUCGCAGUCUGCAACUCGACUGCGUGAAGUCGG